Penaeus monodon (black tiger shrimp) is the source of this 2216-nucleotide long non-coding RNA. RefSeq lists it as uncharacterized. NCBI's taxonomy places the organism in Eukaryota, Metazoa, Arthropoda, Malacostraca, Decapoda, Penaeidae. The record is from RefSeq and is a predicted model, not a curated record. The transcript is spliced from 3 exons.
CCCGGUAGCGCACUCGGCACGUAACCGUCGGCGGAAGAACACGGCACAUCAGGUUCCUCUCUUUUAUCGGUGAUUGAACAAGGCAGAAGAUUAUUUAUAAAAGGGGGGCUGGCAUAAAACAUUAUGAUCACGAGGACUUUUUGAGCUGCUUUGUCGAAACUAGAAGUGCCAAAUUAGCGUUCUUCUUGAGGAGGAAAUUUUAAGUAGUUCGUGAGUUUUAGUACCGCGAGUGGAGAGAGAAAAUGUCAUCCAAAGCUAAAAUGCAGUUUGUAAAACGGGCUGUUGGUGUUCAGCAAUAUGUGUAUAGACUUUUCUACGGGGAAAUGUUGGCCCAAGUGUCUCGGUACCCACUGCGUGUCCCUGUGCGGAUUAUGCCAGGGAGACGCAGACCACAGGCAGUGCACCAGGAUCGUUUUAUUCAGCAAGGGGCAGCUCUCUUGGCUGGAUUAGGCUUGUGUAUUUCAUCUUUUUCCCUGAAGAAACUCUCAGCCAUGCCACACAAACCAAGACGCCUGAUCUAGAUAUUGCAUAAGUGAAAUAUUGAAAUUUGUGAUUUGAAAAUGAAAGUGAUUUAGGUCAGUUGCAUAGACUUGCACACUGAUUUUUCAAAUGUAUCAGCUAUAUUUUAUUUCCAGUGAUAGCGGGGUAAAUAUCCAGCAAUAUAUUUUUUUUUUUACUUACUAUUAAAUCUUGAAUAGAAGAACAUACAAAUGUUAUAGGGAGUCUUAAAGAUUAGCUGUGAAAAAAUCCACCAUUAUGUAGGUUGUAUGUUGUCAUUUUACAUUUUUAGACUGAUGCUACAUAAUUUCAAAUCCCUUCAAAACUAUUAUCUUCUAUAGCAUUGGAUUGUAGACUUUUAAAAUUUCAUUAUGCUUCAACUUCAGAGGAAUAGCACUUUUUCUUAUAUUUGGUGAUGCUUGUAGUGGAUUGUGUAUUUUUUACAUACUACUGGUCUAUAAAAUCAUAGCAUUUUGUCCAUUAAAUGGCUAUGAGUGUUUUUAUGGCUAUAGUAAUUAUCACAAAGGUUCACCAAAUGUUUUCUUCAGAUCUAGUAGUAUUUUGUAUGGCUGUAUAAGAAGGUGCUCUUUGAUUGGGAAAAAAUGUGAUAGAAACAAGGAAAUCAAGUCUUUAGUCUUUAUUUAUUUUUCAUUAGACUCCCAAAUUGUGGAUAACCAAAACUUAAUUUCUUUACUCAAAAUGAAAAUAAGAAAAAAGUAGUCUCUUUUUUAUUGAUUAUUUGUAGAUAUUCAUAAUAUUGAUAUUCUGACUGAGAGACAUCAUGUCAUGAUGGCAUAGUAAUGACAUGUUUACAAACUGGCAUAAGCAUCAAUUCUCUUUGUUUUUUAUUUAUUUUGGUAACCUGUAUUAUGCAGUCUAUUACAGUACUGCUGAUGUGAAUGAAAUUAAGGGUUUAUUCAGAUAUGAUUUUUUUUUCUUCUUCUUCUUCUUAAGAGAAAUAUUGGCCAUAAAGUCAUUUCCACAGGAAUUAAAAGCUUAAAGAUACAUUAAAGUUUUUCCUGUGCUUAUAUUGUAGUCAUUAACUAAUGAAAAUAAUUACAGAUAGAUGUCGAGCAUAGACAUAGAUUAUUUGCAUUUAAUCAUCAUUAUACUGUUAAGUUCUAGCUAUUAGACAAAACUCCUAAGUCCUGUACAUUGGUUUACACAGAGGCUUUAGGCGAGAGGAACUGAGGUUAUUUAGGUAUUUUUUAAUUAUUUUAUGCUAUUGAUCUUUAUGUAUUAUAAUGUAGGUAUAAUAUUUUUAUUUGAAUUAUUAUGUGUAUAAUAUUUGUGAGUGCAUUAUAGAUGUGGUAAUAUUUGAUUUUGCAAUAUUAGCUCUAACAGUCAUGCUGUUCACAUAUCACAAAUAUAAAUUUUCACAUGUAUAUACCUUGUAGAUCUCUCAUUCUCUUCAUAAGGUGAAUCUUUGGGAAUUAAGGUUAGAUAGUUUCUAUUUUUAUACACAAACGCUCACACUGUAUCUUGGUUUACCUAUUUUUUUCCCAUGGUUGUGUAACACCAAAAAGGGGAUGUUCUAAUUCUCAAUUAGUAUUACCCUUUGCUAGUCUAUUUCAUGUGGAGUUUACACUGAACCUGAUUCCAAAGUUGCACCCCAUCUCUUCUUUCAAGAAUGAGUGUUAUUCUUGAGGUUUGCAUCAUGUGUCUUCAUUCCCUCAUACAUAUAGAAAACUAUUUGUUAAUAAACAAUGUUAAUGUAA